UGGUUCUGGCAUCGAUGAAGAACGCAGCGAAAUGCGAUAAGUAAUGUGAAUUGCAGAAUUCAGUGAAUCAUCGAAUCUUUGAACGCACAUUGCGCCCAUUAGUAUUCUAUUGGGCAUGCCUGUUCGAGCGUCAUUUCAACCCUUAAGCCUAGCUUAGUGUUGGGAAUCUACUGCCCGGGAGGAGCUACCCUGUAGCGCCUACCCUGUAGUUCCCGAAAAUCAACGGCGGAUUCGCAGUGUCCUCUGAGCGUAGUAAUCUUUUUCUCGCUUCUGUCAGGUGCUGUGAGCCUUGCCGCUAAACCCCAAAUUUUAAAUGGUUGACCUCGGAUCAGGUAGGAAUACCCGCUGA
RNAcentral lists this unclassified non-coding RNA (349 nucleotides) under uncultured fungus. RNAcentral describes it as "partial contains 5.8S ribosomal RNA and internal transcribed spacer 2". The stretch from base 1 to 133 matches the Rfam family "5.8S ribosomal RNA", at positions 22 to 154 of the family's 154-position model. Lineage: Eukaryota; Fungi. The record is from RNAcentral.